GAUGAAGAACGCAGCGAAAUGCGAUAAGUAGUGUGAAUUGCAAAUUCAGUGAAUCAUCGAGUCUUUGAACGCACAUUGCGCCCCCUGGUAUUCCGGGGGGCAUGCCUGUCCGAGCGUCAUUGCUGCCCUCAAGCCCGGCUUGUGUGUUGGGCCCCGUCCCCCGAUCUCCGGGGGACGGGCCCGAAAGGCAGCGGCGGCACCGCGUCCGGUCCUCGAGCGUAUGGGGCUUUGUCACCCGCUCUGUAGGCCCGGCCGGCGCUUGCCGAUCAACCCAAAUUUUUAUCCAGGUUGACCUCGGAUCAGGUAGGGAUACCCGCUGAACUUAAGCAUAUCAAUAAGCGGAGGA
Molecule: unclassified non-coding RNA, 346 nt
Filed under: soil metagenome
Description: partial contains 5.8S ribosomal RNA, internal transcribed spacer 2, and large subunit ribosomal RNA
Rfam family: 5.8S ribosomal RNA (bases 1-119)
Source: RNAcentral